CCACGGGCUGGGCCGAUUCGGCGCUGGCCCUGGUGGUCUUGCGCGCCGCCGCGGGCAUGGCCUACGGCCUGAGCCUGAUCCUCGCGCAGACGGCCCUGGU
This 100-nucleotide transfer RNA is filed under the name compost metagenome. RNAcentral describes it as "tRNA-Ala". The record is from RNAcentral.